RNAcentral lists this ribosomal RNA (490 nucleotides) under uncultured bacterium. RNAcentral's name for it is "bacterial SSU rRNA". It matches the Rfam family "Bacterial small subunit ribosomal RNA", at positions 28 to 429 of the family's 1533-position model. The record is from RNAcentral.
GAUGAACGCUGGCGGCGUGCCUAAAACAUGCAAGUCGAGCGGCAGCGAGUUCCUCGCUAAUGUUCGGAUUUGUUUACCAAUGAUGCAAGUAAUUUAGUCAGAGUAACAAAGUAACGACUAGUUGUUUAAGUUAAAAGGUAGAUUUAAUAUUCCGGAUAUGAGCGAGGAAUGUCGGCGAGCGGCGGACGGCUGAGUAGCGCGUAGGAACAUACCCCAAAGUGAGGCAUAACCGCCCGAAAGGGUGGCUAAUACCGCAUAUUGUCUUCGGAUGAAAGCUUUUAGCGCUUUGGGAAUGGCCUGCGUUUGAUUAGCUAGUUGGUGAGGUAAGGGCUUACCAAGGCGAUGAUCAAUAGCUGGUUUGAGAGAAUGAUCAGCCAGACUGGAACUGAGACACGGUCCAGACUCUACGGGAGCAGCAGUUGGAAUUUCCACAUGGGCAAAGCCUGAUGGAGCAACGCCGCGUGCAGGAAGAAUGCCUUCGGGUUGUAAA